GCCCUGCUGGCGCAAUGGUAGCGCGCGAGACUUCUACCACUAUGGCUCCUAACGGAACGGAAUCUCGAGGCUGCGGGUUCGAGUCCCGCGUAGGGUU
Molecule: transfer RNA, 97 nt
Filed under: Venturia inaequalis
Lineage: Eukaryota; Fungi; Ascomycota; Dothideomycetes; Venturiales; Venturiaceae
Rfam family: tRNA
About the family: Transfer RNA (tRNA) molecules are approximately 80 nucleotides in length. Their secondary structure includes four short double-helical elements and three loops (D, anti-codon, and T loops). Further hydrogen bonds mediate the characteristic L-shaped molecular structure. tRNAs have two regions of fundamental functional importance: the anti-codon, which is responsible for specific mRNA codon recognition, and the 3' end, to which the tRNAs corresponding amino acid is attached (by aminoacyl-tRNA synthetases). tRNAs cope with the degeneracy of the genetic code in two manners: having more than one tRNA (with a specific anti-codon) for a particular amino acid; and 'wobble' base-pairing, i.e. permitting non-standard base-pairing at the 3rd anti-codon position.
Source: Rfam by way of RNAcentral